Molecule: long non-coding RNA, 2659 nt
Organism: Triticum dicoccoides
Lineage: Eukaryota; Viridiplantae; Streptophyta; Magnoliopsida; Poales; Poaceae
Exons: 8
Source: RefSeq, a predicted model, not a curated record
GAAAAAAACCACCCCUGCACAAAAAACUCUCCUCUCCACCCCAUCUCCGAUCUCCCUGCCGCCGACUCUUCGUAGCCGCCGCCCACGUGCGAACUCGUUCGUUGCCGCCGCCGCCGUCCGAGGGGAGACGCCGCCGUCGCGUCUCCAGGCAGGGCGGCUUGAAUCCCUGUCGCCGGGAUCGCCCCGCCGAACUCCGGGCCAUGGCGAGAUCCAGCAGGCCAUGGCGGCGACCAGCGCCGGGAUAGGACCAGGAGGCCGCCGGCGUCUCCCUGAUCCGUGACCCCGACGCCAUGGAGCUGCUCGUCAAGGCACGCAGGCACGCGCGGGUCCAGCGGCAGGAAGGGCACAGAGGAGGACCGAGCUCGCCGGUGCGCGUGGCCAAGGGAUGUAGCUGCCCGGAGCUACUUCGCCCUCGACGAAGAGGAGACCGCGGGCCAGAGCUCCUGGUCUCCCAGGGCCGCCGAGCGCAAGGAACUAUUGCCAUGGCACCUCCUCGCUCGCCCUCGGUGCAGCGGCCGUGUAUAUGGAAUUGUGCCCUGGUGGGGGCUCCGAGGGAGGAAACCGACUAGCACAAGGCGCUACUGCCAUAGCGUCCGGAGGGAGGCAUGACGCGCAGGGCUACAGGGAAUCCGCCGACGACAUAUGUGGCUUCUCCUACGCCUGAUGGUGCUGUCAUUGCAGCGGCGGCAGCGGAUCUGAGUCCCACCCGUUGGGAUCGAACGACAGAUGGCGUGAGGCAGUUGGAUGCGAGUCCCACUCCCAACCUGAGGGCUCGACCUUCUCGAUUCCUGGCUGCGGCGGGUGUGGAACUCCGAAGUGACGGUGAACUCGCCGGCGUCGCACUGCCCCCACACAAGCGCCAUCAGAAAGCACUUCGCUCUGUUGCACACAAGCAAUAGCUAUUUCUGCACCAAUCUGUCCGAAGAUAUAAAGUUUGAACCAGCCCUUAGCUGCAUUUGGUCAGUUCAUCUUUCAGGAGAAUAUGCAUCUUACUUAGUUCGAGGUGUGACCUGACUCUUCUUUGUACGUAUGUAAUUGGUUUAUUUCUUGAUAGGGUGGUACUCUCUGAAUUUCUUGAUGAGUGUUCCCGUUGCUGCACUGCAUUGUGGCCGAGUCCUCUUCUUGGCCAUGCCAGUGACAUGAGCAGGAUGGUGUAUACCAGCUUCCCAGACAUGUGUCUGUCGAGGACGCACCGGGUUUGUGGAGGUGAUGGCACGAGUAUUUACCAGGAUGCUUGGAGAUGCGUUGGCAUAUGUCUAGAACAACCUGGUCCACGCAUGGGGUCUGACUUGAAUAUUUCAGGAGAUGACUAGAUGUAAAUCUGACUUUCAGAUAAUAUAUCUGUGAAUUGCGCAGAAUCAUAUAGAGCAGAUGGGCAUCGUUGACACGUAGUGCAUGACACAUUGCACGAUUAACAUGCUCUUAGGCCAGCUAAGUAACAUAAGACAACUUUUGUAUGAAGAUCGGUUGUUCGGUUUCAUUCUGACAGUUUAGAAGCUUUUGUUUGGCGUUUCUCUCAGCCGGAUAAUAGAGAAAAAGAGACUUACGCAGGCAUCAAGGCUCUUUGAAGUCAUAAUAUCCAGCUUCACCUUCAAAUGUCGACGUUCUACCAUGAUUGUGCAAUAUAUUUCAAGGCCCAUGAUAAAACUGAAAGAGCAUCAAGGGUUUUACAGGUCAUGGUGGCUGGGUUUUGCUGGCGUUGUGGUCCAUGCAUACCAAUUCUUUGAAUCAGUGCCACCGUGCAGUGAUGUAAGAAAAAAGUGUGUCGUUUGUCGACUGUGGGCAAUGGAGUGAUGUAGAUGUACUGUAGAGUACAUAUUCAAGGGAACUGUGAGGUGACUUAGAUAGCUGUAAUGAGCUGAUGGAGCCUUUGACCUGAAGUUAUAUUUGUAUAGAUUACAUGAUUUGUUGAUGAGGAUAAGAAAGAGGAGCUGAUGGCAAACAAACCGAGGAAAGUCACCGAAGAUUGAGGUUGGGUGCGAUGCCACAUCAGAAGGUAUUUAGGCUAUGGGUGAGUUAGGGGCCAUGGAGCGAGCCGAUAGGAGGGUCGAGUAUGGUGCAUACAUGUCAACGUUGGUAGUCAGAACUUGAUGCUGAGUGCGGAUGGGAAUGAUGGGGUGAGGAUGGGCAUGCUUUAGUCCAGCAAUUUAUCAUUGCCAAAUGGUUCAAUCCCGGUGAUGUCAUUGCUGGAUAUGCAAGGUCUCAUUGGGCAAGGUAUUCGAAGUUCUUAAGUGCCUAGGAACCUCGCUGUGCUUUUGUAUUGACGUGAUUAGCAAGUGUAUUUACCGAAGCAUAGAUGUAAUGUGGGUUAUGUGUAGCACCGAAUCUGAGAUGGCUGCAAUCCAGUCGGUUCUGGCAUUGGAGAGUUACGAGUGAAUCAGACUUAAUCAGAUGGCAUCAACACUGUUAAUCAUUGGAAGGUCUGCCGAGCGUUUGAGACGAGAAGCAUGGUGCCAAUACAUACUUUUGGUUCUUAACCCAGAUGAUCUCAUUUAAAGUUGUUGGCGUUUGUUAUAAUCAUUCUUGAUGAGCUGCACAACGCUUCAUGUAUUGCACUACUAAUGUGUUUAUUUGGUGGUCAAACUCCUGUUCCACUCCUAUAUAGAUGCUAUGAAAAUAAUUUGUUUUGUUUACUGAAAUCUGAAUAUAAGUGAAUCUA